RNAcentral lists this transfer RNA (72 nucleotides) under Geranium maderense. Its description in RNAcentral is "tRNA-Val". Lineage: Eukaryota; Viridiplantae; Streptophyta; Magnoliopsida; Geraniales; Geraniaceae. RNAcentral also lists the same sequence under 1 other name. The record is from RNAcentral.
AGGGAUAUAACUCACCGAGAAAGGGUGGCCUUGACGAGGUAGAAGUCAUCAGUUCGAGCCUAAUUAUCCCUA